Molecule: ribosomal RNA, 591 nt
Filed under: Stutzerimonas stutzeri
Lineage: Bacteria; Pseudomonadati; Pseudomonadota; Gammaproteobacteria; Pseudomonadales; Pseudomonadaceae
Description: bacterial SSU rRNA
Rfam family: Bacterial small subunit ribosomal RNA
Source: RNAcentral
CAUUGGGCCGGGUGGAUUAAUCCUAGGAAAUCUGCCUGGGUAGUGGGGGGACACGUUCGAAUGAAACGCUAUUCCGCAUACGUCCUACGGGAGAAAGUGGGGGAUCUUCGAACUCACGAUAUCAGAUGAGCCUAGGUCGGAUUAGCUAGUUGGUGAGGUAAAGGCUCACCAAGGCGACGAUCCGUAACUGGUCUGAGAGGAUGAUCAGUCACACUGGAACUGAGACACGGUCCAGACUCCUACGGGAGGCAGCAGUGGGGAAUAUUGGACAAUGGGCGAAAGCCUGAUCCAGCCAUGCCGCGUGUGUGAAGAAGGUCUUCGGAUUGUAAAGCACUUUAAGUUGGGAGGAAGGGCAGUAAGUUAAUACCUUGCUGUUUUGACGUUACCAACAGAAUAAGCACCGGCUAACUUCGUGCCAGCAGCCGCGGUAAUACGAAGGGUGCAAGCGUUAAUCGGAAUUACUGGGCGUAAAGCGCGCGUAGGUGGUUCGUUAAGUUGGAUGUCUUAGCCCCGGGCUCAACCUGGGAACUGCAUCCAAAACUGGCGAGCUAGAGUAUGCAGAGGGUGGUGGAAUUCCUGGAAGCUAAUUCC